Molecule: ribosomal RNA, 494 nt
Filed under: uncultured fungus
Lineage: Eukaryota; Fungi
Description: eukaryotic LSU rRNA
Rfam family: 5.8S ribosomal RNA (bases 144-297)
Source: RNAcentral
AAGUCAUAACAAGGUUUCCGUAGGUGAACCUGCGGAAGGAUCAUUAGUGAACGCCUUCGGGCUAUCCUAUCCAACACCUGUGCACUGUGGGGCUUUGGCCCUAACAAACAUGUUGUAAUGAAUGUAUAAACUGUAAUCUAUAAAACUUUCAACAACGGAUCUCUUGGCUCUCGCAUCGAUGAAGAACGCAGCGAAAUGCGAUAAGUAAUGUGAAUUGCAGAAUUCAGUGAAUCAUCGAAUCUUUGAACGCACCUUGCGCCUUUUGGUAUUCCAAAAGGCAUGCCUGUUUGAGUGUCAUGUAGACUCAACCUCCAAGGUUUUUUGACCUUGGUGGCUUGGACUUGGGCGCCUGCCUCUGGCUCGCCUUAAAAGCGUUAGUGGGACUAACCAGAAGCCUGAUGUAAUAAGUUUCAUCUUGCCAUGGUGAUUGCCUGCUCACAACCCCAUCUUCUGACUCUGACCUCAAAUCAGGUAGGGCUACCCGCUGAACUUAA